CCCCACUUUUGUUUCAACUCUAUUCUAUACUCCCCCAUUUUUUUCCCUAUUUUUUUAUUUCCCCACACUUUUUUUACCCAUUUCUACUUUUUCCACUUUCUCCCCACUUUUCACUUUUCUUCCCAUUUUUUCCCCACCUUUCUAAAAAUCGAAAAAUCGACGAAAAGAUAAGGCUAACCCCUGAACUUUUUGUCCUUUUUUAUUUUUUACUUUGUGAAAAAGAGGCAAAUAAAGGUAAAGGCUGACCCCACCCUUAAUUUUCGAGCCCUGGAAAUACUUUAUGUAAAAUAAUAUAUUGUGUACUGUUCUUAUAUGUACCGUCAUUUGCAUCUUAUAAGCAUGAACACUCGCAG
Paramuricea clavata is the source of this 353-nucleotide non-coding RNA. Lineage: Eukaryota; Metazoa; Cnidaria; Anthozoa; Malacalcyonacea; Plexauridae. The record is from the annotation of a GenBank genome assembly.